UAAGUUUAGGAGCAGAUCCCCGGAUCCUUCCAUAGAUACACUUAUCGAAGCCUUUGCCGCCCCGCAAGGGGUCACUACCACGACAGAAAAUAAUGGUACGGCAAGUCAGUAAUGGCAACAUAAUCGAAUUGCGGGGAGCCCUAAAGCCAGGAGUACUAACUGCGAGCAGAAAUGUUUGCAGGGCCCAUGCUAAUCACAUGGGGGAGUAAAAAUCUACCUGGAUGUACAAUGGGUAAUCCGCAGCGAAGCCCCUAAGGCCUAGGCUAUGGGGAACGUUCACAGACUAAGUGAUUAUGGGCAUGAUCCUCAUGCUUAAGAUAUAGUCGGGUCCUUGGGGAAACCUGAGGUGUAAGUCACUACAAACCGUUCCGUAGGUGAACCUGCGGAAGGAUCAUUACAGAGUUCAUGCCCCCCCGGGGUAGAUCUCCCACCCUUGUGUAUCAUUAUAAAAUGUUGCUUUGGCGGGCCGCGAGCCUGGCUUGCCCGGAUGUGACGUCCGGCGUGCCCGCCAGAGGAUCCUAAACUCUGAAUGUUAGUGUCGUCUGAGUACUAUUAAAUAGUUAAAACUUUCAACAACGGAUCUCUUGGUUCUGGCAUCGAUGAAGAACGCAGCGAAAUGCGAUAAGUAAUGUGAAUUGCAGAAUUCAGUGAAUCAUCGAAUCUUUGAACGCACAUUGCGCCCCUUGGUAUUCCGGGGGGCAUGCCUGUUCGAGCGUCAUUAAUACCAAUCUAGCCCUGCUAGGUGUUGGGCUUCGCCACCCGGCGGGCCUUAAAAUCAGUGGCGGUGCUCUGCAGCUCUACGCGUAGUAACUUUUCUCGCUAUAGGGCCUGUGGAGAUGCUUGCCAUCAACCCCAUAUUUUUCUAGGUUGACCUCGGAUCAGG
RNAcentral lists this small RNA (883 nucleotides) under Lachnum nudipes. RNAcentral's name for it is "eukaryotic LSU rRNA". The stretch from base 565 to 718 matches the Rfam family "5.8S ribosomal RNA". Lineage: Eukaryota; Fungi; Ascomycota; Leotiomycetes; Helotiales; Lachnaceae. The record is from RNAcentral.